Molecule: ribosomal RNA, 224 nt
Filed under: Hemiselmis tepida
Lineage: Eukaryota; Cryptophyceae; Cryptomonadales; Hemiselmidaceae
Description: partial Bacterial large subunit ribosomal RNA
Rfam family: Bacterial large subunit ribosomal RNA
Source: RNAcentral
UGCUGAGACAAUCAGGAGGUUGGCUUAGAAGAAGCCAUCCUUUAAAGAAAGCGUAACAGCUCACUGGUCAAGCGCUCCUGCGCGGAAAAUGUAACGGGGCUUAAGUGAUACACCGAAGCUGCGGGCUCAACUUUGUUGAGCGGUAGCGGAGCGUUCCGUAGGCCGAUGAAGGCAGACCCGCGAGGGCUGCUGGAGGUAUCGGAAGUGAGAAUGCUGACAUGAGU